RNAcentral lists this long non-coding RNA (1593 nucleotides) under Homo sapiens (human). RNAcentral describes it as "HSALNT0051038". The record is from RNAcentral. Lineage: Eukaryota; Metazoa; Chordata; Mammalia; Primates; Hominidae.
AAAGAAGGAGAUUGUAUGUCUGACGUGAAGAAGGAAGGGCAAGGGGCGAGGAGGCCGAUGACAAGAUAAAGGGGGCAUGGCCAGAUCCCACUGAGUGCUUCAGGAUGCAGCAAGGAGACCAGAUUCAUUCUCAGUGCAAGGGGCGGCCUCGUGUUCUCCUCACAUCCCUGUCCAUCUCUGUUUUUUGCCAGCUGCUGUUUCUCCACCUGCUCCUAAGUGCUGCUGUUCUCCCAGCUCCUCUCAUUCUACCUGCAGGAAUCUUGGUUACUUUCACGUGGUAACCGAGACCCCCUGCUCCUCGGCUAUGGACUCAGCCCCGCAGGCACUGGCAUGGGACCCUCUCACAAGGGACCCAGGAAGAAACUAAGAAGAGUCGGCUUGUGGGGAAGGAAUGCGGAAGGACUAAAGGGAUUGAGGAAGGCCUGUUGCAGGAGAGAAAGAAGAGGUGAUCAAGACCAGAGGCUUUGUUUCUGAGGGACCGUGGGAGGAUGGUACGGUGCUUCAAGCACUGGAGUCAGAGAACACAUUCCUGUUAAGGAGCUGGGGAAAGGAAUUCACACGAGGAGAACUGCUGCCGAGCACUCUGAACAUUCUGUGUAUUGUCGGGCGGGGAUGUCCAGCUUGAACCUAAAAAGAAGGGCAUUUCACGUGCCCUUGGUCAUGACCCACAUGCACCGGAUGGCCAGCACUAAGGCUGCCUGGCAAUGUAUCCCUCCCUCCAAGCUCACAGUGCCACAAAGGCCCUAUCAGGCUCUGCUCUCCUCCCACACACCUCUCCAGCCUCACCCUCUCACCACUUCCAGAACCGGCUCUUACACUCCUUAGGGUCCACACAUGCCAUGCUGUUCUCACUGUCUGCAAUAAUUUCACCCCAUGAAGCACUUCCUCCCUGAGCUUUCUCCUGCCUGCUGUCUGUUCGUCCCCUGACUGAUGUUAGCAUGGACGAGUAUUAUAUAAUGGGGGGCAAAACAUGUUUGGACAUCACACAGUCUUGGAUUAGAAUUCCAGCUUUCCUCUACACUCCCUGGAUUAGAAUUCCAGCUUUCCUCUGCACUCCCUUUAAGACCUUAGCAAUCACUGUGUCCAUCUUACCAUGAGUGAAAUGGAGUUUAUUCCAGGACUAUUUGCGGCUCAAAUGACUUUUAUAAAGUGCUCUGCACAUAGUAGGUGCUCAAUAAAUGUUAGCGCCCCUUCUCUGCCCUUGAGGCACUCGAUUAAUGCUUUUCAAUUCUAGAGUCACUGAACAGCUACCAUUUGUUGGAAGCUACCAAGUGUCUGGUGGCACUGUCUUUUCUCCUUUUCCAUGACCACUCUUACUUAUCCUGAGUGUGAUUCUCUUUUCUCAUGCAUUGGAACUGAUGUGCUGGCCAUGCAGAGGAAUAGGCAGGACCUGUCAUUUACUGAGGGUCCACUCUGUGCCUGACCUUCACGAGCUGUUUUCCAGACAGUCUCUCAGUUAAUAUUCACAAUGACUCUUUGAGGUUUGUUGUAUUAAUCACUAUCUUAUAUAUGAGCAAAUUGAGACUCUGGGAAGUUAAAUAACCUUGCUGAGAUUAAACAGCCAGGACUGAUAGAGCCAAGACAGAAAUCCGG